AACGAACGCUGGCGGCAUGCCUAACACAUGCAAGUCGAACGAGACCUUCGGGUCUAGUGGCGCACGGGUGCGUAACGCGUGGGAACCUGCCCUUAGGUUCGGAAUAACUCCCCGAAAGGGGUGCUAAUACCGGAUAAUGUCUUCGGACCAAAGAUUUAUCGCCUUUGGAUGGGCACGCGUUGCAUUAGCUCGUUGGUAGGGUAAAAGCCUACCAAGGCGACGAUCCAUAGCUGGUCUGAGAGGAUGAUCAGCCACACUGGGACUGAGACACGGCCCAGACUCCUACGGGAGGCAGCAGUGGGGAAUAUUGGACAAUGGGCGAAAGCCUGAUCCAGCAAUGCCGCGUGAGUGAUGAAGGCCUUAGGGUUGUAAAGCUCUUUUACCCGGGAUGAUAAUGACAGUACCGGGAGAAUAAGCUCCGGCUAACUCCGUG
This 433-nucleotide ribosomal RNA is filed under the name uncultured bacterium. RNAcentral's name for it is "partial 16S ribosomal RNA". It matches the Rfam family "Bacterial small subunit ribosomal RNA", at positions 29 to 507 of the family's 1533-position model. The record is from RNAcentral.